GCUGGUUUCCACAUGUUGGCUCCUUCAUCAAAUGAUUUGUUUAAAUAUGUAUUUUAUUCUCUCUCUCUCUCUCUCUCUCUCUCUCUCUCUCUCUGUGUGUGUGUGUGAGUGUGUUUGUGUGUGUGUGUGUUCAUGCAUAUAUGUGCACACACGUGGGUGCAUGUACACGUUGAUGUCAAGUGUCUUCUUCCAUUGUUCUCUACCUUUUAUUUCUGAGACAGGGUCUCUCAAUGAAUCUGGACCUUGCUAGCCAGCACCCUCGGGGGAUCAUCUUGUCUCUGCCCCCCCAAACCCCCAGCCCAGUGCCAGGGUACCAGGUGUUCAUGGACACAUUGAGUUUCUUACAUGGGUGCUACAGAUCUGAACUCAGGUCCUUAUGUCUGGGCAGAAAGCAGUCUACUAUGAUGGUUAACAUUACAUUUAAAGUUUAGACAUACUAUGCUUGAGAGACCAAAAAGAAAAAAGAAAAAAAAAUACCUCUAACACACAAGCCCCUGACUAUAUACCCUAGGAGCCAGCCCACUUCCUGUGUUUUCCCCAGACAUUGAGAACUAUUCUUAAAUGAACUGAUCUUAUAAAAUUUGCUGGUCUUGCAAGAUAUUAGGUUAUAAAACGAACUGCUAUUUCUGCUUUUGUAAUCAAACUUGCUGACUCUGCUCAAUGACUAAGACAACUGCAGGGCAGAUAUGUUAAAAUCAGGGUCUGACUUUGUGGUUUUUGACUUUAUAAGCCUUGGGCUGAUACGCCGAGGGGCUGCAGAACAUUCCCACUUGAGCCACGUCUCCAGCCCCCCAGUGAGGAUUCUAGGAGGUUCAGCAGUGGUGCUAGGGUAAAGUACCAGAUGAGAAGGGGCACCAUCUUACUCCCCAGGACGGAACCGUAGGACGGAGCCCAGCUUGAGACAGGCAAGAGGGCCACAGAUCUGAAGGUCCACAGAAAAUGGCUUUUCUCAAGGAUCUAGAAGUCAUCUUGGGGAGAGCUCCGCACAGUAAUUUGGGCUGGUUUAAUUUAAAUUUAGAAUCACCAUAUGUACUGGGUGGUUUUGUAUGUAAACUUGACACAAGCUAGAGUCAUCAGAGAGGAAGGAGCCUAAGCUGGGGAAAUGCCUCCAUGAGAUCCAACUGUAAGGCGUUUUCUCAAUUAGCGAUCAACCGUGGUGGGUGGUGCCAUUCCUGGGCUUCUGGUCCUGAAGGGGCUGAACAAGCCGUGGGAAUCCAGCCAGUAAACAGCUCCCCUCCGUGGCCUCUGCAUCAGCCUUCAGGUUCCUGCCCUGACUUCCUUCAGUGAUGGACAGCAAUGCUGACACUACCUGACAAGAAGCAACUAAAGAAGAAAGGGUUUAUUUGACUCACAGUUUGAAGAGACACUGUCCAUCAUGGCGGGGAAGGCACGGGUGGCAUCAGGAGGUGGAGAUAGUUGGUCAUACUGUCUGUGUCCGG
Molecule: long non-coding RNA, 1439 nt
Filed under: Cricetulus griseus (Chinese hamster)
Lineage: Eukaryota; Metazoa; Chordata; Mammalia; Rodentia; Cricetidae
Description: lncRNA (ENSCGRG00015042313.1)
Source: RNAcentral